Molecule: ribosomal RNA, 253 nt
Filed under: uncultured bacterium
Lineage: Bacteria
Description: partial 16S ribosomal RNA
Rfam family: Bacterial small subunit ribosomal RNA
Source: RNAcentral
UACGUAGGUGGCAAGCGUUGUCCGGAAUUAUUGGGCGUAAAGAGCUCGUAGGCGGUUUGUCGCGUCUGCUGUGAAAACCGGAGGCUCAACCUCCGGCCUGCAGUGGGUACGGGCAGACUAGAGUGCGGUAGGGGAGAUUGGAAUUCCUGGUGUAGCGGUGGAAUGCGCAGAUAUCAGGAGGAACACCGGUGGCGAAGGCGGAUCUCUGGGCCAGUAUUGACGCUGAGGAGCGAAAGCGUGGGUAGCAAACAGG